UACGGGGGGAGCAAGCGUUGUUCGGAUUUACUGGGCGUAAAGGGCGCGUAGGCGGUCGUGACAAGUCACUUGUGAAAUCUCCGGGCUUAACUCGGAACGGUCAAGUGAUACUGUCGGACUAGAGUACAGAAGGGGCAACUGGAAUUCUCGGUGUAGCGGUGAAAUGCGUAGAUAUCGAGAGGAACACCUGCGGCGAAGGCGGGUUGCUGGGCUGAUACUGACGCUGAGGCGCGAAAGCCAGGGGGAGCGAUCCGG
RNAcentral lists this ribosomal RNA (255 nucleotides) under uncultured bacterium. RNAcentral describes it as "partial 16S ribosomal RNA". It matches the Rfam family "Bacterial small subunit ribosomal RNA", at positions 524 to 776 of the family's 1533-position model. The record is from RNAcentral.